RNAcentral lists this ribosomal RNA (792 nucleotides) under Williamsia sp. H89. RNAcentral's name for it is "bacterial SSU rRNA". It matches the Rfam family "Bacterial small subunit ribosomal RNA", at positions 56 to 862 of the family's 1533-position model. Lineage: Bacteria; Bacillati; Actinomycetota; Actinomycetes; Mycobacteriales; Nocardiaceae. The record is from RNAcentral.
UGCAGUCGACGAUGAAGCCAGCUUGCUGGUGGAUUAGUGGCGAACGGGUGAGUAACACGUGGGUGAUCUGCCCCAAACUUUGGGAUAAGCCUGGGAAACUGGGUCUAAUACCGAAUAUGACCAACUUCUGCAUGGGGGUUGGUGGAAAGCUCCGGCGGUUUGGGAUGGGCCCGCGGCCUAUCAGCUUGUUGGUGGGGUAAUGGCCUACCAAGGCGACGACCGGUAGCCGGCCUGAGAGGGCGACCGGCCACACUGGGACUGAGACACGGCCCAGACUCCUACGGGAGGCAGCAGUGGGGAAUAUUGCACAAUGGGCGCAAGCCUGAUGCAGCGACGCCGCGUGAGGGAUGACGGCCUUCGGGUUGUAAACCUCUUUCACCAGGGACGAAGCGAAAGUGACGGUACCUGGAGAAGAAGCACCGGCCAACUACGUGCCAGCAGCCGCGGUAAUACGUAGGGUGCGAGCGUUGUCCGGAAUUACUGGGCGUAAAGAGUUCGUAGGCGGUUUGUCGCGUCGUUCGUGAAAACUUGGGGCUUAACUCCAAGCGUGCGGGCGAUACGGGCAGACUUGAGUACUACAGGGGAAACUGGAAUUCCUGGUGUAGCGGUGAAAUGCGCAGAUAUCAGGAGGAACACCGGUGGCGAAGGCGGGUCUCUGGGUAGUAACUGACGCUGAGGAACGAAAGCGUGGGUAGCGAACAGGAUUAGAUACCCUGGUAGUCCACGCUGUAAACGGUGGGUACUAGGUGUGGGUUCCUUUUCACGGGGAUCCGUGCCGUAGCUAACGCAUUA